Molecule: ribosomal RNA, 160 nt
Filed under: Caloplaca fuscorufa
Lineage: Eukaryota; Fungi; Ascomycota; Lecanoromycetes; Teloschistales; Teloschistaceae
Description: 5.8S ribosomal RNA
Rfam family: 5.8S ribosomal RNA
About the family: 5.8S ribosomal RNA (5.8S rRNA) is a component of the large subunit of the eukaryotic ribosome.
Source: RNAcentral
AAAACUUUCAACAACGGAUCUCUUGGUUCUGGCAUCGAUGAAGAACGCAGCGAAAUGCGAUAAGUAAUGUGAAUUGCAGAAUUCAGUGAAUCAUCGAAUCUUUGAACGCACAUUGCGCCCUUUGGAAAUUCCGAAGGGCAUGCCUGUUCGAGCGUCAUUA